Long non-coding RNA from Photinus pyralis (common eastern firefly), 330 nucleotides. RefSeq lists it as uncharacterized. Lineage: Eukaryota; Metazoa; Arthropoda; Insecta; Coleoptera; Lampyridae. The record is from RefSeq and is a predicted model, not a curated record. The transcript has 3 exons.
CAACGUGAUGUCUCUUAGGUAAAUUCGUAUCAAAAUGGGAUUCCAUUGAAAUAGAGGCCCCUGUCAUCAAAAUCAAUUCGCCCCACGAUUGUAACAGAAAAUGUAGUGGACACACAUCCGUAGCGCGGUUAGAAUGAGGGUCUGCUACAGAUUUUCUGUUUGCCUGUUGAACGUAAUCCCUCAAAUUGCUGGAAACGAUGAGAUCACCUAAACUGCCUCCACCACCAACCGCUCCGGUGGAGGUCAUGAUUGAAACUUUAUCGUAACGGGCGAAUUAUUGAUUACAGGGACGCAAAACAACUUGAAUCUCCCUCGAUGCCCUUCGUCGUU